Molecule: long non-coding RNA, 1339 nt
Organism: Vigna unguiculata (cowpea)
Lineage: Eukaryota; Viridiplantae; Streptophyta; Magnoliopsida; Fabales; Fabaceae
Source: RefSeq, a predicted model, not a curated record
AAUGCAACGCAAUCCCUAACUUCUUUCUCAUUUUCAUUUUUCACCCACGCAGACGCAAUCCCCUUCCCUCUCAUUGGUGUCCGUCGCGGUGGUGCCACAGGUGGUGGUCGUCGAUCGUUCUUUGGCAGUGGUGGUCGACGUUGGUGCCAGCCGUUCCGUGGUGGUCGAGCCGCAAUCCCCAACCUAGUUCUCUUCUCAUUUUAAUUUUCGACCCACACAGACGCAGUCCCCUUCCCUCUCACUGGUGUCCGUCGCGGUGGUGCCACAGGUGGUGGUCGUCGAUCGUUCUUUGGCGGCGGUGGUCGACGUUGGUGCCGGCCGUUCCGUGGUGGUCGAGCCGCAAUCCCCAACCUAGUUCUCUUCUCAUUUUAAUUUUCGACCCACACAAACGCAGUCCCCUUCCCUCUCACUGGUGUCCGUCGCGGUGGUGCCACAGGUGGUGGUCGUCGAUCGUUCUUUGGCGGCGGUGGUCGACGUUGGUGCCGGCCGUUUCGUGGUGGUCGAGCCGCAAUCCCCAACCUAGUUCUCUUCUCAUUUUAAUUUUCGACCCACACAGACUCAAUUCCCUUCCCUCUCUCACUGGUGUCCGUCGCGGUGGUGCAUAGAGGUGGUGGUCGUCGGUCGUUCUUUGGCGGCGGUGGUCGACGUUGGUGUCGGCCGUUCCGUGGUGGUCGAGUCGACGCUUCUUCUGCUCCUGCUGCUCCUCUGCUUAGCCACUCUCACUCGGUGAAGUUGCGAUUGAACACCCAUCAAUGUGGAGUUCGUCCUUGCUCUGUAUAAAGAUAUAACUGUUCUGUUAAGUGAGUCUGCAUUUAGCAUUGGUGGUCACGUGCUUAACAAGUAUCGAUCUAAUCUUCUUCCUGACAAUGUUCAAGCACUGAUUUUAACUCAAAAUUGGUUACAUGGAUUUGAAAAUAUUGAUGAAGAUAAUGAAGAUGAUCAAAAGGAAGAGGAAGUUGUUCUAGACUUUUCAAUCCAUGACUCCAAUGCACCUCAUGUGUAGUAAUUCUAGAUCAGGGCAACCACCAGAUUUGAAGAAUCAUUUAGCAGCUGCCAAAUUAUGUUUUUUGCAAGGGGAAGGUUUUGUUUUUUUGCAGUUCGUGUAGGACAAGAUUUUGAGAACUGCACAUGUUAGAAGAGUGGCAAAGGGAGAUAGAUAAAGCAAUUGGAAGAUGACAAGAUUCAAACAUGAACCAAAUUUUUUGAAUUACCACGAUAAAGAUGUGUACUAUUUUCAUUUAUGUUUUGUUGAAUACAAUGAUAGAAAUUUCCUAGUAUGAGCCUUGUAGUGAGCAUGAUGGAAACACAUUGGUACUUGAUUUUAUUGUAAUUAUCAUCU